Molecule: ribosomal RNA, 447 nt
Filed under: Streptomyces sp. 8LB8
Lineage: Bacteria; Bacillati; Actinomycetota; Actinomycetes; Kitasatosporales; Streptomycetaceae
Description: partial 16S ribosomal RNA
Source: RNAcentral
UCACUUUCGCUUCUUCCCUGCUGAAAGAGGUUUACAACCCGAAGGCCGUCAUCCCUCACGCGGCGUCGCUGCAUCAGGCUUUCGCCCAUUGUGCAAUAUUCCCCACUGCUGCCUCCCGUAGGAGUCUGGGCCGUGUCUCAGUCCCAGUGUGGCCGGUCGCCCUCUCAGGCCGGCUACCCGUCGUCGCCUUGGUAGGCCAUCACCCCACCAACAAGCUGAUAGGCCGCGGGCUCAUCCUUCACCGCCGGAGCUUUUAACCCCGUCCCAUGCGGGACAGAGUGUUAUCCGGUAUUAGACCCCGUUUCCAGGGCUUGUCCCAGAGUGAAGGGCAGAUUGCCCACGUGUUACUCACCCGUUCGCCACUAAUCCACCCCGAAGGGCUUCAUCGUUCGACUUGCAUGUGUUAAGCACGCCGCCAGCGUUCGUCCUGAGCCAGGAUCAAACUCU